Molecule: small nucleolar RNA, 88 nt
Filed under: Tetraodon nigroviridis (spotted green pufferfish)
Lineage: Eukaryota; Metazoa; Chordata; Actinopteri; Tetraodontiformes; Tetraodontidae
Description: Small nucleolar RNA SNORD70 (ENSTNIG00000020490.1)
Source: RNAcentral
UUCUGUGUGGUCGAUGAUGCAGUUAUGUGUCUGAUUAAAACAUGAGGCAGUUCACAUUUCUCGUCACUACCACUGAGACCACAUCACG